This 169-nucleotide unclassified non-coding RNA is filed under the name soil metagenome. RNAcentral describes it as "partial contains 5.8S ribosomal RNA, internal transcribed spacer 2, and large subunit ribosomal RNA". The record is from RNAcentral.
AAGACUAUAGACCUGCGGAGUACCUGCGGAAGGAUCAUUAGUGAACGCCCUCACGGGCUUAUAACUAUUCCAAACCUCUGUGAACCGUGCCCUUCGGGGCUAUUUUACAAACAUGGUGUAAUGAACGUCAUAUAUCAUAACAAAACAAAACUUUCAGCAAUGGAUCUCU